CCCAUAACAUAAGUUAGUAAGACCCCUUGAAGACGACGAGGUAGAUAGGCAGAAGGUGGAAGUGUGGUGACAUAUGGAGCUGAUCUGUACUAAUAGGUCGAGGGCUUAACCAA
This 113-nucleotide ribosomal RNA is filed under the name Lachnospira sp. RNAcentral describes it as "partial 23S ribosomal RNA". It matches the Rfam family "Bacterial large subunit ribosomal RNA", at positions 2813 to 2925 of the family's 2925-position model. The record is from RNAcentral. Lineage: Bacteria; Bacillati; Bacillota; Clostridia; Lachnospirales; Lachnospiraceae.